UACAGAGGUCUCAAGCGUUGUUCGGAUUCAUUGGGCGUAAAGGGUGCGUAGGUGGCGCUGUAAGUCGGGUGUGAAAUUUCGGAGCUUAACUCCGAAACUGCAUUCGAUACUGCGGUGCUUGAGGACUGGAGAGGAGACUGGAAUUCAUGGUGUAGCAGUGAAAUGCGUAGAGAUCAUGAGGAAGACCAGUGGCGAAGGCGGGUCUCUGGACAGUUCCUGACACUGAGGCACGAAGGCCAGGGGCGCAAACGGG
This 253-nucleotide ribosomal RNA is filed under the name uncultured bacterium. RNAcentral's name for it is "partial 16S ribosomal RNA". It matches the Rfam family "Bacterial small subunit ribosomal RNA", at positions 524 to 776 of the family's 1533-position model. The record is from RNAcentral.